RNAcentral lists this long non-coding RNA (6168 nucleotides) under Cricetulus griseus (Chinese hamster). RNAcentral's name for it is "lncRNA (ENSCGRG00015035922.1)". Lineage: Eukaryota; Metazoa; Chordata; Mammalia; Rodentia; Cricetidae. The record is from RNAcentral.
GAUGGUGGUGAUGGUGAUGGUGGUGAUGGUGAUGAUGGUGAUGAUGAUGGUGAUGGUGGUGAUGGUGAUGAUGGUGAUGAUGAUGGUGGUGAUGGUGAGGAUGGUGAUGAUGGUGAUGGUGGUGAUGGUAGUGAUGGUGGUGAUGGUGAUGAUGGUGGUGAUGGUGAUGAUGGUGGUGGUGGUGAUGGUGAUGGUGGUGGUGGUGAUGGUGGUGGUGGUGAUGGUGGUGGUGGUGGUGUGAAGUGCACUUUGCAGUGUUACUCUGUCAGUUCAUAAGUACAUGUGGUGUCCAUUCUGAGACCCAGGGAGUGGUGAAUUCUGCACUUGUCACUUGCUGGCAUCCUAGGGUACCACCGGCUAGGUGACUAACAGGAAGGCUGUGGCACAUUCAGGGUGUUGGCAGUGCACACUCCCUCAGCAUCUCGUCUGGUCCCCAUGGGCCUAGCAACCCUGCUGGACUUGUUCAUUGAGCCAGAGCAGCUGAGUGAGUUGUCCAGGCUGCUCCAGUCUGGUGCUGUCUCCUGGGAAACUGGCUCUUUCCAGAGCAGAGUCAUUCUAUCAGCCCGGGAAGUCCCUGAAUUAAAGAUGUGGAAAUUUGGGAACUGUGGAGGUGGAAAUGAGCAAACCAAAGCAGAAAGAGGCAAACAAGGAAAACCUUGGCGGAAUGGGAGCUAAGCUAUCCUGUGUCGAGAGAGAGAGAGAGCGCGGGAGAGGGAGAGAGAGAGAGAGGGAGAGAGAGACAGAGAUUUGGGGAUGGACUGAGACACUGAGACAUGGACGUGGCACGAUGACAAUGGAGAUGGCGGCCCCUUUGUGCCCCCUAAGAGGAUCUGAAUGUGGAUAAGCGUGUUGGCCAUGGGGCCGGAAGUGUUGCCUUUAACCUGCUGUCUUUCUCCUUAUUAAUUAUAUAAUUUUGGACAAAUAGCAUCCACCCCUCUGUGCCGAGUUUUCUGGUGUGCACAGGAUGAGAACAACCGUGUCUGUGCGUUGAUUGUCCUAUGGUACCUUUGUGCAGGGGGAUUGUGGGUACUUCAUCCCCGCCCCAAGGCAGAUAACUUUGUGAAGAGAAAAGGUUUCCUUAGUUUACAGUUUGAGAAGUUCAAAACCCAGGUGUCAGCACCGUGGGUGUGGCAUCUGGAGAGAAUGGCAAGUGAUGGCACGUCACAACCGGAACUCGUGUAGUAGCAAGCAGGCCUUUCUGGAGAGAAAUGGCAUGUGUUAGACCAGGUUUGCUUUCUAAUAACAGCCUUCUUCUGAGGGGUCCCAGGAUAAUAACCACAGUCACAUGAGAACUCCACACACGGCCCUCCCCACCAACGACCUAAGAAGCUCCUAAAAUGUCUCACCUCUAGGAGACCCCACUGCCCCCAAACAAGGCCAUUCUGGAGAUAGCCCUUGAGGGAUUAGCGUAAGUGGCUGGAGCCUGCAUCUCUUCAGGAGUUUAAGGAGUUAAGAGUUGCAGUCUUGGCUCUGCCUUUUGCUUUUGGAUUCGCUUUGAGUUUUGGAAUACUUAUCUCCUCCAAACCUCAUCUGUUUCACCUGCAAAAUGCAAAAGUAUCAGUCUGUAGGGAGGGUGUGAGGGUCACGUGAUCAGUGUUUAACACCGACUCUUGGGACAGGACUUGAUUUGCAGCAUCUGCUCGCUCAUUCCCACGGUGCAAAUGCUCCCACUGCAGCUGACUUCAGGGUAGCAUUGCAGUGUCUCUGAAGGUGGAGUCAGAAGAAACGGGCAUCGUUAUCUUCCAUCCCCACAGCACGGAAUCAAGACAUUACCUGAGCCUAGAUAACAGUUAAGGGCAGUGAAGUAAUUAGGAACUGAAGGGCUCUUAUUGCAUUUGUUUUUUAAUGUAAUUUGUUUAAUUGUGAGCUUACAUAAUAUAGUUUUUAAUAACUGCUGUUCAUAACCGGCUUGCAAAGUUCUUGAAAAUUUAAUAAUCAGCUCUGGCAAGCUGGUCCAAGCUGGCUUCACAUACUGUUGAAUGUGCUAAAGCUCCAGCGAGGCCUAGAGAGGACACGGCAAGUACGCAGUGCUCCAUCAUCGGGAGCCUAUGCAGUUGUUGUUAUGUGUUUUAUUAUGCAAUCUCUGAUGACAGUAGGGGGAAAAAACAGGCCGUGGAAAAAAAAUCUGUAGUAGUUGCCUUUUCCACUCCUGCAUCAAAAGACUCAACAGAGCAAGUUUGGGCAGAGAGAUUUCUUUGGGCUGACAGUUUCAGAUGUUAGUGUUAGUGCCUGAUGGAGGUGUUGUUAGUACUCAAUGGUGUGUGGUCCUGAUGGAGAUGUUAGUACUCAGUGGUGUUGUGAUCCUGAUGGAGGUGUUAGUACUCAGUGGUGUUGUGAUCCUGAUGGAGGUGUUAGUACUCAGUGGUGUGUGGUCCUGAUGGAGGUGUUAGUACUCAAUGGUGUGUGGUCCUGAUGGAGGUGUUAGUACUCAGUGGUGUUGUGGUCCUGAUGGAGGUGUUAGUACUCAAUGGUGUGUGGUCCUGAUGGAGGUGUUAGUACUCAGUGGUGUGUGGCCCUGAUGGAGAUGGGCCGGUGGCAGAGGCUCCUCCUAUCUUGGGGAUAAGGAGCUAGCAUUGGGACUGGAAGCAGGGAUAGCUGCAGCCUUCAAUACCCAUCUCUAGUGAGGAGUCUACUUCUCAAGGCCAGGACACAUCAUCUCAAGGUCCUAACACCUCCCCACAAAUAUCACCCUGGCUGGGGACCAGGUCUUCAAAAUAAGAGCUUUUGAAGGACAUUUCCAACUCAAAGCAUAUCAACUUAAAGGCACCUCUUAUGAAGUUAAGAUCAUUCUGUUGAGUUAAGGAACAUGAGCUGGGGGUGAACAGUGACUGCAACAUGGUUUGUUUGUGAUAUUACUGCCCUGGGUACAAAUUCAGAACUCAGGCCCCAAAAUAAAAAUAAAAGGGGGUUAAAAAGCUUAUAAAACUGAUUUCGCUGGCAGUGAGAUAUAUAUGGAUCUCACUAGGCCAGGAGGUGGUGGCACACACCUUUAAUCCCAGCACUCAGGAAGCAGAGGCAGGUGGAUCUUUGAGUUUGAGGUCAGCUAUAUAGUGAGUUCUAGGACAGGCAGAGUUUACACAGAGAAACCCUGUCUAGAAAACAACAACAACAACCCCCCUAUCCUCCUACCCAGUAGCAAUGCAGAUCAAAGAAAUAGGGUAUCAGGGUAUAAUCAGGAAAUAGGAUCUUAUAUGGAGGACAGUGAUAAUCCAUUUGUUUUUGGUUGUGAGCCUAGCCUUUAACGGCCGAGCCAUCUCUCCAGCCCAGAUAAUCCGUUUGUUAAACCCAGUACACCUACACAGGGACAUCCAAUACGUUAUAAGGAUACCUGCAUGUGAUAUCUAUAUCUCUCAUGGCCCAGGAAGGAAAGGAUGAGCAUAAAAUUGCAUACCUGUAAAAUUAAUUAAAAAAGAAGACUAACUACAAAGCUGUGAGCAGGGCUAGGCAGAGCCCUUGAUGGUGGGAGGAAGUAGCCUAGACCUACAACAGUCAUGUGACCUACCUGGCUGGAAGAGAAGGGGCAACGGGAUUCAAAGGAAGCCAUCUAGAGAGGAUAAGGGAACCACAGCUGCCCUUCAGAGGGCUUAUGGCCCACCAAUGAGGGAUACAGGAGGUGGCAUUCUUGCUUCUCUUUCUACCACCCCCGAAUCUCCGGAUGAUGCUAAACCCAAUAAGAAGGCAGAGGGCCGUCUUGCUCUUUGAUGUACACACGCCCUACCGGUAAGCUCCCUGGGACCCAGAACUGGGUAAAGACAGACAGAGGGAUUGGAGGAUUAACAAGAACAUCCAAGGAAGUACUCCAUGGUAUAAAUCAGACAGGCUGUGAGGGCUGUGACUCCAGGAGAAGAAAGGGAUUGAGCUUUUGAGGUGUAAAGGAACAUACUGAAGCAUGGUCUUUGUAUUAAUGUCUGAUAAUUGUGACUUGAAGGUAGGCAUGAUUUGAGUGUAAUGAACUCAACUGGGAAAGCAUCAACCAUGCUGAAGAAACUUCUGGAAAAUGACCUUGCACCCCUGUGCCAUUUGUGUUACACCCCAGGCCUUCACAGAUGAACUCAGCUGGAGAGAGAACUGACUCUUGGUUGGAGGCUUGGCUGCCCAUGGCCUGGGAUGAGAAACACAAAGCGGAAAUGUGGAGGAAGGGGAGACACCAGCCUGGGUCUCCAUCGUGUUCCUGAAAGUCCGUCUUCUUCAAAGAAGAAAAAAGGAAAACAUGUAUGCAAACGUUUGUGUUGCUUGAAGACAGCGGAAAGGCAAGUCAACGUAGCUUUUCCAUACAGUCUGACACGGUGGCGUUUGAUGUUUCCAUACGACGUUGCCAUCUUCACACGUGCUGGGCCACAUCCAGACGUCUGGGACGCAUGGAGCCUGCAGCUUGGCCAUGCCUGGUGGUGGAUGAAUAUUAAAUAAUGAAUUCUCCUAGCCUGGUGGCUCUGCCUAUACUUCCUGCCUGGCUACAUCCUGCCUGUUCAUUGGCCGAAACAGCUUGAUUCAUCAACUAAUAAGAGAAACAUAUUCACAGCAUACAGAAGGGCAUCCCUCAUCAGCUGUCUUCAUACCAGAGAGGCUGAGAACUCAGAUGGCUGCUCAGACAUCACAGCAGUACUGAAAGCCUAGCAGAUUCUGGGAGAGUUACUGAUCUUCAGUCUUCAUUAGAAGCCAGAAAGGCUGGGCUCUGACCUCAGAGAACAAAUACAGCAGCAGCAGCAAUGAUGUAGAUGACCCCAUAAAUAAGAUAAACUUGCCAGUAAGAUGGAAAGUCAAACACACAGAAAGAUAAAAGGUUUUCCUUCUGACCACCUUGCGUCUGGCUGCCAAGGCAAGACGCUGCCCACAGUUAGGGCAGAUCUUUCCAUUUCAGGUAACCUGAUCAUCACCAGUGUGUCCAGCAGCUUGCCUCUUACCCGAUUCCAGAUCUAAUCAAGUCCACAAGCAAAAUUAGCUACCACAAGCACUUACCCGCUUCCUGCCGGUUCCACACCGGACACGAACUUUUAGCAUCUCAUCUUCUCUGACGACAGCGAGGUGGGCGCUUAACUAUCUUCUUUGUUGUACGUGACUGAGUGCUGAUAACUUAAACUUCUCAUCUGCUCUUCCACGAGCUAGUUGAGAAUGAAAACUACGGUUCUGUGCUGUGGAACAAUCCCUCUUGUACACUGUUAAGAUUGACUGGCCAGUAGCCAGGCAGGAUGUAUAGGCGGGGUGGCAAACCUAAGGACAUUGGGAAAGAGAAGGAUGGAGUCAGGAGUCUCCAGCCAGACGCAGAGGGAGCAGGAGAUGAACGUGCCAUGCUAACAAAGGCACUGCCACGUGGCAGAGCAUGAGUAGAACUAUGGGUUAAUUGAAGUGUGAGAGUUAUCUAGUAACAAGCCUGAGCUAUUGGCUGGGUACCUACAAUUCAUAUUCAGCCUCUGAGUCAGUUAUUUGGGGCCAGGCCGUUAGGACAGGAAACAUCCACUUACAGUUCUGACUUCCAAAUCUCAAGUGUCUCAAGACCCCAUACUGUUUACACCGUCUUCUGGAAAACCUAUUAUAUAGUAAUUCACCACCGUACUUUCUUUCCCAGGAGGAACGCUUGCUUAUGUUUGAGGAUGGUGAGAUGGACAAGGUGUGUGGUUUGCAGCUUGCCCUGCAGACAGAGGCAAGGAAUUGAGUCUCAGCCCAGAGUCUGGCUCACGGCAUAAGACCUAAAGCUUGCCCUUUACCUCACUGCACCAUGCCCUGUCAUGUGACCUGGGGAUGUAUUCACCUGGUCACAUGAGCUUUCCAAAGCAACGGCUCUGUUAGCAGCAUAGGGCAUCUUCUUUGCCUCUAAGCUGUAUCAAGUUGUCACCCUCUGGUCCAGGAUUUCCUGAAGGAUUAAGUGGGUCUGGUUACUGAGAAGUACCAGGUUCCUCAGGAGAGAAAUCACCUCUGCCCAAGGUGCCCAUGCAAGACAGAGCUCCUGUUCCUGGUGCCACUCUGACACAGACCAUGCAGAACCCACUUAUAGUUGUCCAUCCAUUUAUAGAUGCCCAGGCAGCAGCUGUGAGGCUCACACACACUUCAGGAACACGGAGGCAGGAGGAACAAUGCUCACCAAAAUGUGUGCCGGGGGGUCCUGGGCCAACCCCUAAAGGCCUCGGCUCUCAGUGUCUUGAAUAUAAUGUACUGGGGAGAACAAGACCUAGG